CCUACGGGAGGCAGCAGUGGGGAAUAUUGGGCAAUGGGCGCAAGCCUGACCCAGCAACGCCGCGUGAAGGAAGAAGGUUUUCGGGUCGUAAACUUCUUUUAUCAGGGACGAAGUAAGUUACGGUAACUGAUGAAUAAGUCACGGCUACCUCCGUGCCAGCAGCCGCGGUAAUACGUAGGUGGCAAGAGUUAUCCGGAUUUACUGGGUGUAAAGGGCGUGUAGGCGGGAGUGCAAGUCAGAUGUGAAAACUAUGGGCUCAACCCAUGGCCUGCAUUUGAUACUGUACUUCUUGAGUGCUGGAGAGGCAAUCGGAAUUCCGUGUGUAGCGGUGAAAUGCGUAGAUAUACGGAGGAACACCAGUGGCGAAGGCGGAUGGCUGGACAGUAACUGACGCUGAGGCGCGAAAGCGUGGGGAGCAAACAGGAUUAGAUACCCCAGUAGUC
RNAcentral lists this ribosomal RNA (443 nucleotides) under uncultured bacterium. RNAcentral's name for it is "partial 16S ribosomal RNA". It matches the Rfam family "Bacterial small subunit ribosomal RNA", at positions 338 to 795 of the family's 1533-position model. The record is from RNAcentral.